AAACGUAAAGGUGUCUUAGAGAGGAAGAAGAAAGCUUUGAGAUUUUUUGAAGAACCUGCCCUGUUGUUCUUUUCCACGUCGCUGCUGCGACUCAAACCUUUCUUUUUUUUUUCGUCAGCUGCGACUCAACCUUUUAGAAGAUUUGAGUUCUCAUCUUUUGUUUAGGUAGGUUACAGAGUAGUGCCGGCGAAACGUUGGAAAGGUGUGCAAUUGCAGAUAUCUAAAGAACCCGGCGAAUUCAACUCUACGUGGACAAGGGAAAGAUGGUUUUUUUUCUUAAAGUCUCAUUAUAUUGAGAGAAAGAACAAAACAAAAGAAAAGGAGACUCUCUUAGUGAAAUGGUUCGCUGGUAAGACGUCCGACUAAAAGAAAGGACUAAACGUUUCCCGUUCGGCGACCUCUUUCACCAUCGCAAAGUAGGUAUGGAAGACGACGCUUUAGCUUCCGCCGAUGAAAAUCAUAUCGGAGAUGGUGACGUUCCUCCAAUUACCGGAGGUCCAGAUGUCGAUGAGUCGCAAUCAUCUCAUCAGAUCAAUGUCGUCGCAACUGUGAGUUCGUUAUAUCUCUAAGAUUGAUUGGAACAUUGCUACAUUAGAUUGAUUCUCUUGGUUGAUGAUAGGAAAUUGAGGUAAAUUUGAUUCAUUCCGUAGUUUAUAAUGUCGAUGAGGAAAGGCAGAGUCUUUCGAAUCAAAAUAACACUGAGCUCCUGAUUUUGAUGAUGAUAAAAUAUCAAUUUUAUGGAUUGAUGAGACGUGACUUCUCCAAGAGCAAUUGAGGAUCGAAUGCUGAAUCCGUUUGAGCCUCCAUCGACAAGUUUCUGAAUUGGGUUUCACCAGUCGAGCAUUGAGGAUGGGAAGAGAGAAGAAGAAGGAAGAUGAGCAAUUGCGCAUAUCUUAAAAUACACAACAUGGAUAUAGUUUAGUCAAUUUUUAUUUCUCUUGCAAAUUUGAUAUAGUUUUGGUUGAUACAUAUUUGAUUCAUUAAGUACCACAAUUUCCA
Molecule: long non-coding RNA, 999 nt
Organism: Arabidopsis lyrata subsp. lyrata
Lineage: Eukaryota; Viridiplantae; Streptophyta; Magnoliopsida; Brassicales; Brassicaceae
Exons: 2
Source: RefSeq, a predicted model, not a curated record